Mauremys reevesii (Reeves's turtle) is the source of this 403-nucleotide non-coding RNA. The record is from the annotation of a RefSeq genome assembly. Lineage: Eukaryota; Metazoa; Chordata; Testudines; Geoemydidae.
AUGAGGAGCCAGGAACCCUUCUAGGUCCUGGGUCACAGAAAUGAGGGGCAGCGCAAGGAAGAGGUGUCCUGGGGCUCUACUAGUGAUCCUGGUCAUUCGUCUUUACUGUGUAAGUUGCCAGGUUAAUGUGGCGCAGAGCCCGCCGUCCCUGAGCGGCUCUGAAGGACAGGACUCCAGCCUGACCUGCAGUUACUCCGGCACGGCGAGAAAUGUGCAGUGGUACCGCCAGGCCCCAGGGGAAAGCCCCACCCUCCUGGGGAUUUUGUACAAGGACGAGCGUGCCACGUGGGGGCUGAAUCUCAGAGCUGAGCUCCGGACCAGAGACAAGCACAGCUGCCUGAACAUCACCGAGGCGCAGCUGCAAGACGCAGCCACCUACCUCUGUGCAGUGGAGACACAGUGA